This 426-nucleotide ribosomal RNA is filed under the name Triticum aestivum (bread wheat). RNAcentral describes it as "partial small subunit ribosomal RNA". The record is from RNAcentral. Lineage: Eukaryota; Viridiplantae; Streptophyta; Magnoliopsida; Poales; Poaceae.
AUGGAGGGAGUAUAUGAGACGUCGGUCACUACACCUUACAUCUUCAACAUGGUCGUGGAUCUGUUAUACAACCACCCCUUGAGUUAUAGAAUACCUAUUCUACAACCACCAUCCUGUGAAAAUAGCCUGACCCCUGAACCUCCACUGCCCACCGCACCAUCCUCCUGCGCCACCCCUUUGCUUCCUCCCGUGUGCCGCCGAUCUACUACUGUACCACUCUUCCCAAUCCUCUCGCAUGCUGCUGGUACACUUCCUCGCCGCCCUUCUCCAUCCACCCGUGCUCACCUCCUUGCUGCCGCACCGCCCCUCCCCUUUCUUGGUGCCCCCGCCAGCCUCCCCCCCGCGCCGCCCUGGCUCCCGUUGCCACACCACUUCCCCAAUCGCCCCUCCCCUGCUCGCAACCCUGCAGUCUGGUCGCUGUCCUGA